This 614-nucleotide long non-coding RNA is filed under the name Suricata suricatta (meerkat). RNAcentral's name for it is "lncRNA (ENSSSUG00005001759.1)". The record is from RNAcentral. Lineage: Eukaryota; Metazoa; Chordata; Mammalia; Carnivora; Herpestidae.
CCCGGCCCAGCCAGCACGGGGCUGUCUCUCCCAUGCAUCACAACCCAUUCCCCCCAGUGACUUUAUUAUCCACAGGUUCUGCCGUGGAGAAGUUGGGAGGGCCUGGCACCCUUCUCAGGUGGCCCAUGCUGGUGGUGGUGACCAGUGACACACACACACACUGGCAUCCCUCGCUGGCUGCUGGGAGCAGGGACCCCUCGCAGCAGGUGUGAUGGGGCUUCCCCUGUGUCCACUGGAUCCUCCUCUUGAGCGGCCUACGUCCCUGCCUGAGAGUUUGUCCCAUGCCCCAGAAAGCAGCUCUGCAAAGGGGCCGUCUCCUGGGAGAAGCUCUGAACUGGCUGAGGAGAGGCCAACUUCUGGGGAAGGCUACGGCAGAAGCCUUGUCCCUGGCUCCCUGCAGCCCGGGCGAUGGCAGCGAGGCUGUUCGGAUGCCGGACACACGCGCUGCCGGGAAAGGGAGGAAGAGACACGUCGUCUGUGCCAGGAAUGCCAGAGAAGGCUUCAAUACCAAGAGCGCCCAGGGAAGUCCUCUGGCUCUGGAGGGAGAGGCUCCAGAAGGCUCCGAGGUGAGACGGGCGAGCCAGGCCCAGCAUGCCAUCCUCCUGCGGGGAGGG